This is a long non-coding RNA of Cyanistes caeruleus (blue tit), 194 nucleotides long. RefSeq lists it as uncharacterized. Lineage: Eukaryota; Metazoa; Chordata; Aves; Passeriformes; Paridae. The record is from RefSeq and is a predicted model, not a curated record.
CACUAUCUUCUGCUGAGAAGGAAUUCCAGGAACACUUUUGCUUUGAUCCUGAUACUGCAAAAAUGAUCUUCAGAACUGGGAAUUUAAUCAUUAUGAGUAGUUCCAGAUUUGUAGCACUGGAAAAGGAAGACUUCAGCUUUCUGGAAGGUCUUCUGACAUCACCAGCUAGAAUAAGAGUAAAAUAAAAGUAUGAA